Molecule: ribosomal RNA, 407 nt
Filed under: uncultured soil bacterium
Lineage: Bacteria
Description: bacterial SSU rRNA
Rfam family: Bacterial small subunit ribosomal RNA
Source: RNAcentral
AGAACGAACGCUGGCGGCAUGCCUAACACAUGCAAGUCGAACGAGACCUUCGGGUCUAGUGGCGCACGGGUGCGUAACGCGUGGGAAUCUGCCCUUGGGUUCGGGAUAACAGUUGGAAACGACUGCUAAUACCGGAUGAUGUCUUCGGACCAAAGAUUUAUCGCCCAAGGAUGAGCCCGCGUAGGAUUAGCUUGUUGGUGAGGUAAGAGCUCACCAAGGCGACGAUCCUUAGCUGGUCUGAGAGGAUGAUCAGCCACACUGGGACUGAGACACGGCCCAGACUCCUACGGGAGCAGCAGUGGGAAUAGUUGGACAAUGGGCGAAAGCCUGAUCCAGCAAUGCCGCGUGAGUGAUGAAGGCCUUAGGUGUAAGUCUCUUUACCGGAUGAUAAUGACAGUACCGGAGAA